Molecule: unclassified non-coding RNA, 343 nt
Filed under: soil metagenome
Description: partial contains 5.8S ribosomal RNA, internal transcribed spacer 2, and large subunit ribosomal RNA
Rfam family: 5.8S ribosomal RNA (bases 1-120)
Source: RNAcentral
GAUGAAGAACGUAGCGAAAUGCGAUAAGUAAUGUGAAUUGCAGAAUUCAGUGAAUCAUCGAAUCUUUGAACGCACAUUGCGCCCGCUAGUAUUCUGGCGGGCAUGCCUGUCCGAGCGUCAUUUCAAACCUCAAGCCCCCGGGCUUGGUGUUGGGGAUCGGCGAGCCUCCGCGCCCGCCGUCCCCUAAAUCUAGUGGCGGUCUCGCUGUAGCUUCCUCUGCGUAGUAGCACACCUCGCACUGGGAAACAGCGCGGCCACGCCGUUAAACCCCCAACUUCUGAACGUUUGACCUCGGAUCAGGUAGGAAUACCCGCUGAACUUAAGCAUAUCAAUAAGCGGAGGA